GACGUAGGGGGCCAGCGUUGCUCGGAAUUACUGGGUGUAAAGGGUUCGUAGGCGGUGUGGCAAGUCGGGAGUGAAAUCUCUGGGCUCAACCCAGAGACUGCUUCCGGAACUGCUGUGCUUGAGUGUGGGAGAGGCGCGUGGAAUUGCAGGUGUAGCGGUGAAAUGCGUAGAUAUCUGCAGGAACACCCGAGGCGAAAGCGGCUCGCUGGAUCGCAACUGACGCUGAGGGACGAAAGCUAGGGGAGCAAACAGG
RNAcentral lists this ribosomal RNA (253 nucleotides) under uncultured bacterium. RNAcentral's name for it is "partial 16S ribosomal RNA". It matches the Rfam family "Bacterial small subunit ribosomal RNA", at positions 524 to 776 of the family's 1533-position model. The record is from RNAcentral.